RNAcentral lists this ribosomal RNA (846 nucleotides) under Chlorophyllum sphaerosporum. Its description in RNAcentral is "eukaryotic LSU rRNA". It matches the Rfam family "Eukaryotic large subunit ribosomal RNA", at positions 84 to 917 of the family's 3401-position model. Lineage: Eukaryota; Fungi; Basidiomycota; Agaricomycetes; Agaricales; Agaricaceae. The record is from RNAcentral.
UAACUGCGAGUGAAGCGGGAAAAGCUCAAAUUUAAAAUCUGGCGGUCCCUGGCCGUCCGAGUUGUAAUCUAGAGAAGUAAUGCCCGCGCUGGACCGUGUACAAGUCUCCUGGGAUGGAGCGUCAUAGAGGGUGAGAAUCCCGUCUCUGACACGGACUACCAGGGCUUUGUGGUAUGCUCUCAAAGAGUCGAGUUGUUUGGGAAUGCAGCUCAAAAUGGGUGGUAAAUUCCAUCUAAAGCUAAAUAUUGGCGAGAGACCGAUAGCGAACAAGUACCGUGAGGGAAAGAUGAAAAGAACUUUGGAAAGAGAGUUAAACAGUACGUGAAAUUGCUGAAAGGGAAACGCUUGAAGUCAGUCGCGUUGGCCAGGAAUCAGCCUCACUUUUGUGUGGUGUACUUUCUGGUUGAUGGGUCAGCAUCAAUUUUGACCACUGGAAAAAGGCUUGGGGAAUGUGGCAGCUCCGGCUGUGUUAUAGCCCCUGGUCGCAUACAGUGGUUGGGAUUGAGGAACUCAGCACGCCGCAAGGCCGGGUUUCGACCACGUUCGUGCUUAGGAUGCUGGCAUAAUGGCUUUAAGCGACCCGUCUUGAAACACGGACCAAGGAGUCUAACAUGCCUGCGAGUAUUUGGGUGGAAAACCCGAGUGCGUAAUGAAAGUGAAAGUUGAGAUCCCUGUCGUGGGGAGCAUCGACGCCCGGACCAGAACUUUUGGGACGGAUCCGCGGUAGAGCAUGUAUGUUGGGACCCGAAAGAUGGUGAACUAUGCCUGAAUAGGGUGAAGCCAGAGGAAACUCUGGUGGAGGCUCGUAGCGAUUCUGACGUGCAAAUCGAUCGUCAAAUUUGGGUA